UUUUCCCGCGUGUUCAUCUUCUCGGCGCAAAUCACAACAAUUACUUCCACUCCGUUACUGCAAGAAUCUCUCCUUCCACUUCCAGACUCCAGCGGAACCUAUCUCCUCUCCGGCGGAAUGGAAGGCGGCGGGGGCAAUUUCUCAGGCGGCGGAACCAAAAACCUAACAGAGACAUGGGUGAACGGUACCGUCGGCGAUGAAGAAGACCCUUGGAAUCCGUUAUUGAGAGGCAAGCAUUUCGACGUCGAAUCGUAUUCAAACAACUAGUAUGACCGAUUCAAGGUCAGCCACCUCCUAUCUGUCGCCGAUCGCUGCGGCGGCGGCGACGAUGAACGGCGGCGGACGAUGCAACUGGAGGCGCUUCGGUUGGCCUACGACGAGGUUAAAUUGGGACGUGAAGUGGAGCUGUUCACCAAGAUUGUUGAGAUGAUUUCAGGGAGAUUGGGCCCUAAUUACGAGAUCGAUGAAGAUUGGUGCCGUUCGGUGAAUCAAUUUGUGGAGGAGAAGGAGAAUUUUGCGAAGAAAUAGGAGGUAUGAAUUUGUGAAUCAGUUAAUCGAAGUAUUUUCUGUUCUUGAUCGAAAUCGAAAUCGAAAUGUUCCUAAUUAGGAAGAUCACCCGAUUCAUACGCGUUCUACAAAGAGAGUAAGAAAUUCAUACAUCACCAUUGGAGAUUUCUAUUUCACCCACGGCGAAUUUCCAAAAGCUCUUGAAUAUUAUUGGAGAUCCCAAUUUUUCUGCACCAGCCCAAACACGAACGCUGAGACAUUUUUGCAUAUCAUUCACACCUCGCUUGAGACGGGCCACUUAUCUCUGGUCAUAGCACUCGCUGAAAAGGCUUUAGAAAUAUGUAAGUCUCUUGACAAUGUCGGUAUUGCACAAGUGCGCUGCACUGCGGGGAUUGGCUUUCUUGAAGACCCAACGCUUUAGAGAUGCUGCUCUUCAGUUCUUGGGAAUAAGUAGAGAGUUUGCAUACCAUUUUUUUUGGAGUGAUGAGUGCUCAUGAUAUUGCAGUCUAUGGCGGGCUAUGUGCACUUGCAACUUUGGAACGAACAGAGUUGAAGGCAACAAUUCUUUUCUAUCUACUUUUCCUUAUUCUCCAAAAAUAAUUUAUAGUCUUGUACAAAUUUCUGAGUAAAGGUUUUUUACAUCGGCAGAGUUUAGUUAUGGAAAGUGAUGAUUUCCAGUCCUAUUUGGAUUCAGCCAUUGGAGUCAGGGAGCUCAUAUGUGAUUUCUAUUCAAGGCAGUGAACAUUAUUUAUUCAUCUUUACUCAAUGAAUGAAUUGAAUGCUUAAAAAGUGGUUUGGUAGGUUUUUGUUUUUA
Non-coding RNA from Momordica charantia (bitter melon), 1321 nucleotides. The record is from RefSeq and is a predicted model, not a curated record. NCBI's taxonomy places the organism in Eukaryota, Viridiplantae, Streptophyta, Magnoliopsida, Cucurbitales, Cucurbitaceae.